RNAcentral lists this ribosomal RNA (557 nucleotides) under Aureobasidium pullulans. RNAcentral's name for it is "partial large subunit ribosomal RNA". It matches the Rfam family "Eukaryotic large subunit ribosomal RNA", at positions 86 to 658 of the family's 3401-position model. Lineage: Eukaryota; Fungi; Ascomycota; Dothideomycetes; Dothideales; Saccotheciaceae. The record is from RNAcentral. RNAcentral also lists the same sequence under 1 other name.
ACGGCGAGUGAAGCGGCAACAGCUCAAAUUUGAAAGCUGGCCUUCGGGUCCGCAUUGUAAUUUGUAGAGGAUGCUUUGGGUGAAACGCCAGUCUAAGUUCCUUGGAACAGGACGUCAUAGAGGGUGAGAAUCCCGUAUGUGACUGGAAAUGUUAACCUAUGUAAAGCUCCUUCGACGAGUCGAGUUGUUUGGGAAUGCAGCUCUAAAUGGGAGGUAAAUUUCUUCUAAAGCUAAAUAUUGGCGAGAGACCGAUAGCGCACAAGUAGAGUGAUCGAAAGAUGAAAAGCACUUUGGAAAGAGAGUUAAAAAGCACGUGAAAUUGUUGAAAGGGAAGCGCUUGCAAUCAGACUUGUUUAAACUGUUCGGCCGGUCUUCUGACCGGUUUACUCAGUUUGGACAGGCCAGCAUCAGUUUCGGCGGCCGGAUAAAGGCUCUGGGAAUGUGGCCUUCACUUCGGUGAAGGUGUUAUAGCCCAGGGUGUAAUACGGCCAGCCGGGACUGAGGUCCGCGCUUCGGCUAGGAUGCUGGCGUAAUGGUUGUAAGCGACCCGUCUUGAA